This 497-nucleotide ribosomal RNA is filed under the name uncultured bacterium. Its description in RNAcentral is "partial 16S ribosomal RNA". It matches the Rfam family "Bacterial small subunit ribosomal RNA", at positions 28 to 507 of the family's 1533-position model. The record is from RNAcentral.
GACGAACGCUGGCGGCGUGCCUAAUACAUGCAAGUAGAACGCUGAAGAGAGGAGCUUACUCUUCUUGGAUGAGUUGCGAACGGGUGAGUAACGCGUAGGUAACCUGCCUUGUAGCGGGGGAUAACUAUUGGAAACGAUAGCUAAUACCGCAUGACAAUGGAUGACACAUGUCAUUUAUUUGAAAGGGGCAAUUGCUCCACUACAAGAUGGACCUGCGUUGUAUUAGCUAGUAGGUGAGGUAAUGGCUCACCUAGGCGACGAUACAUAGCCGACCUGAGAGGGUGAUCGGCCACACUGGGACUGAGACACGGCCCAGACUCCUACGGGAGGCAGCAGUAGGGAAUCUUCGGCAAUGGGGGCAACCCUGACCGAGCAACGCCGCGUGAGUGAAGAAGGUUUUCGGAUCGUAAAGCUCUGUUGUAAGUCAAGAACGGGUGUGAGAGUGGAAAGUUCACACUGUGACGGUAGCUUACCAGAAAGGGACGGCUAACUACGUG